AGAGCGAACGCUGGCGGCAGGCUUAACACAUGCAAGUCGAGCGCCCCGCAAGGGGAGCGGCAGACGGGUGAGUAACGCGUGGGAACGUACCUUUUGGUUCGGAACAACACAGGGAAACUUGUGCUAAUACCGGAUAAGCCCUUACGGGGAAAGAUUUAUCGCCGAAAGAUCGGCCCGCGUCUGAUUAGCUAGUUGGUGAGGUAACGGCUCACCAAGGCGACGAUCAGUAGCUGGUCUGAGAGGAUGAUCAGCCACAUUGGGACUGAGACACGGCCCAAACUCCUACGGGAGGCAGCAGUGGGGAAUAUUGGACAAUGGGCGCAAGCCUGAUCCAGCCAUGCCGCGUGAGUGAUGAAGGCCCUAGGGUUGUAAAGCUCUUUUAACGGGGAGAUAAUGACGGUACCCGUAGAAUAAGCCCCGGCUAACUUCGUGCCAGCAGCCGC
RNAcentral lists this ribosomal RNA (443 nucleotides) under uncultured bacterium. RNAcentral's name for it is "SSU rRNA". It matches the Rfam family "Bacterial small subunit ribosomal RNA", at positions 26 to 518 of the family's 1533-position model. The record is from RNAcentral.